Molecule: non-coding RNA, 45 nt
Filed under: Trichobilharzia regenti
Lineage: Eukaryota; Metazoa; Platyhelminthes; Trematoda; Strigeidida; Schistosomatidae
Source: RNAcentral
AUUCAAAUGCUGAGUCCAAAAUAGGAUGAAACGCGAGUCCUGAAU